CUGAUAUUUCUAGGUUAAUUAGAAAAAAAAAUACUUAAGUUCAAUACAUUAUCAAGCAAGUUUGCUGAAUUGAGCUCUUUAUUAUGCAUCUUUAGAGUGAGAUGAAUAAUAUUCGAUGUCCGAGCAAUGAGAUAAGAAGGCUUCCAGAGUGGGCCGAGUUAGCAAGUGAAAAGAAGCUGGAAUGAAACGGUUGUGAAGACAAACAGGUAUUCACAAACCUGGUCCUACUACCCAGAAAUUAAAGUAAGCAGGUAUCAGAGGGCUCGUCGGUCUGGAUCUUAAAGAAACAGGUUUAUUUAUUUAUUAAUUUUUUCUUUCGAUAACCCUCUUCGCGCCUGGUGCUUUAGCCAGCACUAACAACUUAUGAAUCAACCUUGCACUCUGUAACCAUCGCAAAAAUAAUCGCAAAUGACCGUCAGAACAAUACACAAUUCGUACAUUUGCCCUCAAAAAAGUCUCUCUGGUGCAGUCAAAGUUUAUGUAUCGCUGAAAACUAUAAACUGUAGCAAUACACAUCGAUGUAAUUUCCCUUAAAACUUGCCAGCGAAUUUAAAUGCCAAUUUACACCCGAGUUUACGGAGUAUUUAAUGUACCUGCGCACACACACCAAAGGUUUGAUAGUUUAAAGCUGUACAGAUCUAAAGGCUGGUAUGUACAGAUUUCUGGUGCUGCCACUCACGUCUUGGCCUCUUGCGUGAGGAUGGAAGGAAUGACGAAAAUUUAUCAGGGUGUUGGAAUAGCUUGAGAUGAAAACGUAAAGAAAUGCACUGAGACUCGUGUGGAUAUGUUGGGAGAAAAAGAGGGUGGUAAGCGGGUAGUACGUGCCAAAGCCUGCUUUGCUUUUAUAUGUGUAUUUCAAGUACAGAAACACGGAAUGUAUGCAUCAAUGUUAUAUAUAUAUAUCUAUAUCAUAUGUAUUGAGAUAGAUACACAUAGAGAAACAGCACACAUUACUGAUGUAUUAAUGUGUGUACUUGCGACUCAGUGGAUAUACUCUAAUCUCAGUAGCGAAGCCUAAGUGAGGCCGAGCUACGCUGCUUUGCUGCAAAUGCAUUUGUGAAAUGGCUCUGUGGGUUCAACUGAUAAAUGCACAUCUAAUUUCAAGAGGUUUAUUAAGCACUGAGAUGAAGUGGUGAGCUCAAUUUACUCCAAAAAGGUAGACUAGAUAACUGAGCAGAAUGAUAGUUAGAAGGUUGGACAAUUAAAGUGGACUUAAAGGCUACUGAAAUAAUUUUAAGGGAUGUUUAUUUCGAGCAUAGAGUGUAUUUAUGAUGGAAAAAAGAAGAAAAGAAAUGAACAAAUGACGUGUCCAACAAUACAUUGGGCGAUGGGAAAUUCUCAUGUACAAUAGCGAAAGUAAUUAUUACAGUAAGCUUCGUGACCAGGUGCUCUGUGAUCGCAUGUUAUGUUAACUCUACGUAUCUUUUGCUUGAGGGAAGCAUAACGUGAUGGAGAACGAUGGAAUGUGAUAUCAAACUGGAUGAUCAAGAUUAACCAAAUGUUGCCUUUAAAUACUUCCGACACUGACUCUCUAGACUAUCAAAUAGGGAAGUUUAUGCACUUGGAUUAAUUUGAUAGAAUCACUGGGCCCCAUAAUUAGCGAAACGCUUGUUUUUGGAUUUAACUAUGUAGUGUGGAGAUUAACUGAUUUGGAAACUGAUUAAUUCAAGUCAAUCAUCAAAACUAAACCUUAAACAUUCGAUUAUUUUUUGAUCCAUAAAAUGAAAACUAUUUGAAAGCUAUCGUUUGAAAUGUUAUUUUUGUUUGUUAAAAACAUUUAAAAAUGUUUAAUCAAUAAAACAAGCUUUGAUUUAGUGAUUAUUGAGCAUUAAAAGAGUUGAUAGAUUUUUAUAAAAACAUGUUGAAUGAUGUAAUUGGACAUUUUUUAAAAUUUGAUAGGAAAUAACUAGUUGAUAGAGCUUUCAGCAUUUUAACGAGCUGUAACUUAUUAAUACCAGAUAUGUGUUUUCAAAGUUAUUCAAGCUUACAGUUUAAAAAAAAAUUGUUUUUGAUCUGUUUUAACUCUACAAACCCUUCAAUAUUUUACAAAAAAAGAUUUUUAAUUAAAAAAAAAAAU
Molecule: long non-coding RNA, 2077 nt
Filed under: Chelonus insularis
Lineage: Eukaryota; Metazoa; Arthropoda; Insecta; Hymenoptera; Braconidae
Description: uncharacterized LOC118067550, transcript variant X3
Source: RNAcentral